CCUCGGGUGUGUGUGCCCUUCAUAACACCUCGUCCUUGAGUGCAGGUGGGCCUGCGUUAAUUAGGCGAGCCCUUGUGAGAGAGGUCUAAAGAUAGAAGACAUGAAAGAGAUUCAGAGCUGCAGAAGAUGCUCUCCUGUUGUUCUGCAAGGGGCAGACUGCCAUAUGUGAGAGGCUCUAUGGAGAGGCCACACAGGAAGCAAGGACCUGCAUGCAGCCUCCAGGAGCUGAGAGCGGUCCCUGGCCAAAAGCUGGCAAGGAAUUGGAGACCUCAGUCCUACUGCCAUAAGGACAUGCAUCCUGCCAACAACCAGGGAUCUUGGAAUGAGAACAUAAGCCUCAGAUGAGAUGGCAGUCCCAGGUGACACCUUGAUUUCAGCCUGCUUCACCAUGAGAUGGCCUUGAGGAUAGAAGUUGCGUACUAAGAUGAUGGAGCAGACAGAUGAAACCUUGUACUAAGAUGAUGGAGCAGACAGAUGAAAGAUGGAGGCCUUGGUGAAAGGCAGGUCCCUGGCAAUACUAUGAAGUUGUCAAACCAGCACUGCAAUAGUUACUUCCAAACAUAUGAGAGAGAAAUAAACAUAUCUUGCUUACAACUUUUUAAAUUUUUUGCAGAGAGUUGAAAUUAAUUCUGACACAGGAAGCAAAAGUGGAAGUGAGAAACUAAUAAAGAGAUGACUGCAGUAUUCCAUGUGAGAGAUGAAGUUGAUGUGGACCAGGGCAAAUGGUGGAAGUGCUGGGAGGUGUAAGAUACCAAAUAUACUUUGAAGGGUGACCUUCAGCCACCAGCUGGAAAUCCAGGAGGGGCCUCAGCCAAGUUUACUCUCGGCACAAUAAGGAAGCAGAGGGCUCCCAGGGACGUUCUUCCUCACCACCCAUCUUCUCUGUCUUCCAUUCCCUAUGCCCUGCCUAGGAGUCUCAGCUUCAUCCGCCUUAUCCAUGUCCCGGCCAUCUUUGCUGACACAAUCCUCUCUUCACUCACCCCCAACACCUAGACCCCAGGUCAGAGGAUGCUAGCUCCAGGUCCCCAUCCUUCUGGGCCUUGUUCUCUGCUAUGAAGCUG
This 1061-nucleotide long non-coding RNA is filed under the name Homo sapiens (human). RNAcentral's name for it is "HSALNT0293585". The record is from RNAcentral. Lineage: Eukaryota; Metazoa; Chordata; Mammalia; Primates; Hominidae.